CAAAGCGUCAUAGGAGGACAUUACUGAAUGAAUUUGGGCGACGCUGUCGCUGGCUUUCACUUUGUGGAGGCAUGUGCACGCGUCGUUCAUUCCAUUUUCAAACCUCUGUGCACUUCUCACGGGUUCGAGCGCGACGUCUGGUAACACGGCGAAGCGCGACGCCUGUGUGUUCUCUUCACAAACCACUGUUUGUCUGCAGAAUGUUUUCUUUUGAGCAUGCAACUGCGUGCCGAUAAAUACAACUUUCAGCAACGGAUCUCUUGGCUCUCGCAUCGAUGAAGAACGCAGCGAAAUGCGAUAAGUAAUGUGAAUUGCAGAAUUCAGUGAAUCAUCGAAUCUUUGAACGCACCUUGCGCUCCUUGGUAUUCCGAGGAGCAUGCCUGUUUGAGUGUCAUGGUAUUCUCAACCCCCUCCCUGUCGCUCCUCUGCAAAGAGGGUGCGCAGUGUCGUGGGCUUGGUCUUGGAGGUUGUUUUUUUGCCGGGCUCUCCUGCGAGCGCCGGCUCCUCUCAAAUGCAUUAGCCUGAAUGUUUGCCUGGGCGCGCCUCGAUGUGAUAAUUGUCGACGUCGCCGCUCGCCCGGCAGCUCUGUCGUUCAGGCUUCCAGUCGUCGACGCGUCUGUCGACAAAAUUUAAUUUUCUUGACAUCUGACCUCAAAUCAGGUAGGACUACCCGCUGAACUUAAGCAUAUCAAAAACCGGGAAGGAAA
RNAcentral lists this ribosomal RNA (707 nucleotides) under Agaricomycetes sp. Dai 10853. RNAcentral's name for it is "eukaryotic LSU rRNA". The stretch from base 241 to 394 matches the Rfam family "5.8S ribosomal RNA". Lineage: Eukaryota; Fungi; Basidiomycota; Agaricomycetes. The record is from RNAcentral.